Molecule: ribosomal RNA, 501 nt
Filed under: uncultured bacterium
Lineage: Bacteria
Description: partial 16S ribosomal RNA
Rfam family: Bacterial small subunit ribosomal RNA
Source: RNAcentral
AUUGAACGCUGGCGGCAGGCUUAACACAUGCAAGUCGAGCGGGGGAAGGUAGCUUGCUACUGGACCUAGCGGCGGACGGGUGAGUAAUGCUUAGGAAUCUGCCUAUUAGUGGGGGACAACAUAUCGAAAGGGAUGCUAAUACCGCAUACGUCCUACGGGAGAAAGCAGGGGAUCUUCGGAACUUGCGCUAGUAGAUGAGCCUACGUCGGAUUAGCUAGUUGGUGGGGUAAAGGCCUACCAAGGCGACGAUCUGUAGCGGGUCUGAGAGGAUGAUCCGCCACACUGGGACUGAGACACGGCCCAGACUCCUACGGGAGGCAGCAGUGGGGAAUAUUGGACAAUGGGGGGAACCCUGAUCCAGCCAUGCCGCGUGUGUGAAGAAGGCCUUAUGGUUGUAAAGCACUUUAAGCGAGGAGGAGGCUACUUUAGUUAAUACCUAGAGAUAGUGGACGUUACUCGCAGAAUAAGCACCGGCUAACUCUGUGCCAGCAGCCGCAGUAA